RNAcentral lists this ribosomal RNA (468 nucleotides) under uncultured bacterium. RNAcentral describes it as "partial 16S ribosomal RNA". It matches the Rfam family "Bacterial small subunit ribosomal RNA", at positions 28 to 507 of the family's 1533-position model. The record is from RNAcentral.
GACGAACGCUGGCGGCGUGCUUAACACAUGCAAGUCGAACGGAAAGGCCCUGCUUUUGUGGGGUGCUCGAGUGGCGAACGGGUGAGUAACACGUGAGUAACCUGCCCUUGACUUUGGGAUAACUUCAGGAAACUGGGGCUAAUACCGGAUAGGAGCUCCUGCUGCAUGGUGGGGGUUGGAAAGUUUCGGCGGUUGGGGAUGGACUCGCGGCUUAUCAGCUUGUUGGUGGGGUAGUGGCUUACCAAGGCUUUGACGGGUAGCCGGCCUGAGAGGGUGACCGGCCACAUUGGGACUGAGAUACGGCCCAGACUCCUACGGGAGGCAGCAGUGGGGAAUAUUGCACGAUGGGCGGAAGCCUGAUGCAGCAACGCCGCGUGCGGGAUGACGGCCUUCGGGUUGUAAACCGCUUUCGCCUGUGACGAAGCGUGAGUGACGGUAGUGGGUAAAGAAGCACCGGCUAACUACGUG